GAUCAUAGCCAGUGUCCAGGGA
This 22-nucleotide microRNA is filed under the name Macacine gammaherpesvirus 4 (Rhesus lymphocryptovirus). RNAcentral's name for it is "rlcv-miR-rL1-13-3p". Its record names the gene rlcv-miR-rL1-13-3p. The record is from miRBase by way of RNAcentral. Lineage: Duplodnaviria; Heunggongvirae; Peploviricota; Herviviricetes; Herpesvirales; Orthoherpesviridae.